This 710-nucleotide ribosomal RNA is filed under the name Tsukamurella strandjordii. RNAcentral's name for it is "bacterial SSU rRNA". It matches the Rfam family "Bacterial small subunit ribosomal RNA", at positions 79 to 802 of the family's 1533-position model. Lineage: Bacteria; Bacillati; Actinomycetota; Actinomycetes; Mycobacteriales; Tsukamurellaceae. The record is from RNAcentral.
UUUCGGGGGUACACGAGUGGCGAACGGGUGAGUAACACGUGGGUGACCUGCCCUGUACUUCGGGAUAAGCCUGGGAAACUGGGUCUAAUACCGGAUAUGACCUUCUCCUGCAUGGGGGUUGGUGGAAAGCUUUUGCGGUACAGGAUGGGCCCGCGGCCUAUCAGCUUGUUGGUGGGGUAAUGGCCUACCAAGGCGACGACGGGUAGCCGGCCUGAGAGGGCGACCGGCCACACUGGGACUGAGACACGGCCCAGACUCCUACGGGAGGCAGCAGUGGGGAAUAUUGCACAAUGGGCGCAAGCCUGAUGCAGCGACGCCGCGUGAGGGAUGACGGCCUUCGGGUUGUAAACCUCUUUCAGUAGGGACGAAGCGCAAGUGACGGUACCUACAGAAGAWKYWYYKGCCAACUACGUGCCAGCAGCCGCGGUAAUACGUAGGGUGCAAGCGUUGUCCGGAAUUACUUGGGCGUAAAGAGCUCGUAGGCGGUUUGUCACGUCGUCUGUGAAAACCCGAGGCUUAACCUCGGGCCUGCAGGCGAUACGGGCAGACUUGAGUACUGUAGGGGAGACUGGAAUUCCUGGUGUAGCGGUGGAAUGCGCAGAUAUCAGGAGGAACACCGGUGGCGAAGGCGGGUCUCUGGGCAGUAACUGACGCUGAGGAGCGAAAGCGUGGGUAGCGAACAGGAUUAGAUACCCUGGUAGUCCACGCCG